AUGGGCGCUUCCAUCCUGUCCGACCGUGGAAAAGGCAAAGGAGGACGUAAAUCCACGUGCAGCAGCCAGCAAGCAGCCAAGCGGCUUGCAGUAUGCACACACGAAACCGCAACAGAAUCGCCGAAGCAUCACCCUCAAAAAAAAUCGCCGAAGCAUCGUAGGCCAAGCAGGCAAGCAAAGGUAGCGAGGCGGGCACGCCUCCCCUUCCGCGCCUCCGCUACGCUCCAACCCGCCGAACCAAACGAGCCCCAGCUCCCACCACCCGGAAAAAUCCUACUCUAUAAAUCAAUCGACGCACCACGUCCACAGGCAUCCAUCGAAAUCUUUCUCAUCGGCUCCUACCAGCACCACGCCAGGCAAGAAGAAAGCCACGACACCUCCUCUACUGUUCCUUAUCCGUGUCCCGUAGCUAGCCAGCAAUCUGCGCAGCAAGAAAAGAAGGGAGGUACUUGGAUCGCUUCUUCUGUGGAGAUGGUGGCGCCCAUGGUGAUCGCGUCCGCGGGGCUCGGGAUGCUGGCGGGCGUGGCGAUGGCGAACCGGACGACCAGGGACGGGCUGCCGGCGGCGUCCAGAAGCUGCCGACCGCGCCCGGGCGACGCGGAGACUAGAACUGAUAUUCGUCGGUUUCCCGGAGUAAAUCAGAGGUGCAGUUAG
This 654-nucleotide ribosomal RNA is filed under the name Triticum aestivum (bread wheat). RNAcentral describes it as "partial small subunit ribosomal RNA". Lineage: Eukaryota; Viridiplantae; Streptophyta; Magnoliopsida; Poales; Poaceae. The record is from RNAcentral.